UACGAAGGGGGCUAGCGUGGUUCGGAAUCACUGGGCGUAAAGGGCGCGUAGGCGGCUGUUCAAGUCGGGGGUGAAAGCCUGUGGCUCAACCACAGAAUUGCCUUCGAUACUGGACGGCUGGAGACCGGAAGAGGUCAGUGGAACUGCGAGUGUAGAGGUGAAAUUCGUAGAUAUUCGCAAGAACACCAGUGGCGAAGGCGGCUGACUGGUCCGGUUCUGACGCUGAGGCGCGAAAGCGUGGGGAGCGAACAGG
RNAcentral lists this ribosomal RNA (253 nucleotides) under uncultured bacterium. RNAcentral describes it as "partial 16S ribosomal RNA". It matches the Rfam family "Bacterial small subunit ribosomal RNA", at positions 524 to 776 of the family's 1533-position model. The record is from RNAcentral.